CAGCCGCCGCGGUAAUACCGGCGGCCCGAGUGGCGGUCACUAUUAUUGGGCUUAAAGCGUCCGUAGCCGGGUUGGGAAGUCCUCCGGGAAAUCUGGCCGCUUAACGGUCAGAAUGCCGGAGGAUACUCCCAGCCUAGGGAGCGGGAGAGGCCGAGGGUAUUCCCGGAGUAGGGGUGAAAUCCCAUAAUCCCGGGCGGACCACCUGUGGCGGAGGCGCUCGGCUGGAACGCGUCCGACGGUGAGGGACGAAGGCCAGGGGAGCAAACCGGAUUAGAUACCCGGGUAGUCCUGGCUGUAAACGAUGCGGACUUUGUGUCGGACAAGCUAUGAGCUUGUCCGGUGCCGGAGGGAAACCGUUAAGUCCGCCGCCUGGGGAGUACGGCCGCAAGGUUGAAACUUAAAGGAAUUGGCGGG
RNAcentral lists this ribosomal RNA (414 nucleotides) under uncultured microorganism. RNAcentral describes it as "bacterial SSU rRNA". It matches the Rfam family "Archaeal small subunit ribosomal RNA", at positions 459 to 872 of the family's 1478-position model. The record is from RNAcentral.